RNAcentral lists this ribosomal RNA (2297 nucleotides) under Citrobacter sp. CK184. RNAcentral's name for it is "partial 23S ribosomal RNA". It matches the Rfam family "Bacterial large subunit ribosomal RNA", at positions 657 to 2925 of the family's 2925-position model. The record is from RNAcentral. Lineage: Bacteria; Pseudomonadati; Pseudomonadota; Gammaproteobacteria; Enterobacterales; Enterobacteriaceae. RNAcentral also lists the same sequence under 1 other name.
AUAGGGGAGCCGAAGGGAAACCGAGUCUUAACUGGGCGUUAAGUUGCAGGGUAUAGACCCGAAACCCGGUGAUCUAGCCAUGGGCAGGUUGAAGGUUGGGUAACACUAACUGGAGGACCGAACCGACUAAUGUUGAAAAAUUAGCGGAUGACCUGUGGCUGGGGGUGAAAGGCCAAUCAAACCGGGAGAUAGCUGGUUCUCCCCGAAAGCUAUUUAGGUAGCGCCUCGUGAAUUCAUCUCCGGGGGUAGAGCACUGUUUCGGCUAGGGGGCCAUCCCGGCUUACCAACCCGAUGCAAACUGCGAAUACCGGAGAAUGUUAUCACGGGAGACACACGGCGGGUGCUAACGUCCGUCGUGAAGAGGGAAACAACCCAGACCGCCAGCUAAGGUCCCAAAGUCAUGGUUAAGUGGGAAACGAUGUGGGAAGGCCCAGACAGCCAGGAUGUUGGCUUAGAAGCAGCCAUCAUUUAAAGAAAGCGUAAUAGCUCACUGGUCGAGUCGGCCUGCGCGGAAGAUGUAACGGGGCUAAACCAUGCACCGAAGCUGCGGCAGCGACGCUUAUGCGUUGUUGGGUAGGGGAGCGUUCUGUAAGCCGUUGAAGGUGUGCUGUGAGGCAUGCUGGAGGUAUCAGAAGUGCGAAUGCUGACAUAAGUAACGAUAAAGCGGGUGAAAAGCCCGCUCGCCGGAAGACCAAGGGUUCCUGUCCAACGUUAAUCGGGGCAGGGUGAGUCGACCCCUAAGGCGAGGCCGAAAGGCGUAGUCGAUGGGAAACAGGUUAAUAUUCCUGUACUUGGUGUUACUGCGAAGGGGGGACGGAGAAGGCUAUGUCGGCCGGGCGACGGUUGUCCCGGUUUAAGCAUGUAGGCGGAGGUUCCAGGUAAAUCCGGUACCUUAUUAAACGCUGAGGUGUGAUGACGAGGCACUACGGUGCUGAAGUGACAAAUGCCCUGCUUCCAGGAAAAGCCUCUAAGCAUCAGGUAACACGAAAUCGUACCCCAAACCGACACAGGUGGUCAGGUAGAGAAUACCAAGGCGCUUGAGAGAACUCGGGUGAAGGAACUAGGCAAAAUGGUGCCGUAACUUCGGGAGAAGGCACGCUGAUAUGUAGGUGAAGUGAUUUACUCAUGGAGCUGAAAUCAGUCGAAGAUACCAGCUGGCUGCAACUGUUUAUUAAAAACACAGCACUGUGCAAACACGAAAGUGGACGUAUACGGUGUGACGCCUGCCCGGUGCCGGAAGGUUAAUUGAUGGGGUUAUCCUCGCGGAGAAGCUCUUGAUCGAAGCCCCGGUAAACGGCGGCCGUAACUAUAACGGUCCUAAGGUAGCGAAAUUCCUUGUCGGGUAAGUUCCGACCUGCACGAAUGGCGUAAUGAUGGCCAGGCUGUCUCCACCCGAGACUCAGUGAAAUUGAACUCGCUGUGAAGAUGCAGUGUACCCGCGGCAAGACGGAAAGACCCCGUGAACCUUUACUAUAGCUUGACACUGAACACUGGUCCUUGAUGUGUAGGAUAGGUGGGAGGCUUUGAAGUGUGGACGCCAGUCUGCAUGGAGCCGCCCUUGAAAUACCACCCUUUAAUGGCUGGUGUUCUAACGUGGGCCCGUAAUCCGGGUUGCGGACAGUGUCUGGUGGGUAGUUUGACUGGGGCGGUCUCCUCCUAAAGAGUAACGGAGGAGCACGAAGGUCAGCUAAUCCUGGUCGGACAUCAGGAGGUUAGUGCAAUGGCAUAAGCUGGCUUGACUGCGAGCGUGACGGCGCGAGCAGGUGCGAAAGCAGGUCAUAGUGAUCCGGUGGUUCUGAAUGGAAGGGCCAUCGCUCAACGGAUAAAAGGUACUCCGGGGAUAACAGGCUGAUACCGCCCAAGAGUUCAUAUCGACGGCGGUGUUUGGCACCUCGAUGUCGGCUCAUCACAUCCUGGGGCUGAAGUAGGUCCCAAGGGUAUGGCUGUUCGCCAUUUAAAGUGGUACGCGAGCUGGGUUUAGAACGUCGUGAGACAGUUCGGUCCCUAUCUGCCGUGGGCGCUGGAGAACUGAGGGGGGCUGCUCCUAGUACGAGAGGACCGGAGUGGACGCAUCACUGGUGUUCGGGUUGUCAUGCCAAUGGCACUGCCCGGUAGCUAAAUGCGGAAGAGAUAAGUGCUGAAAGCAUCUAAGCACGAAACUUGCCCCGAGAUGAGUUCUCCCUGACUCCUUGAGAGUCCUGAAGGAACGUUGAAGACGACGACGUUGAUAGGCCGGGUGUGUAAGCGCAGCGAUGCGUUGAGCUAACCGGUACUAAUGAACCGUGAGGCUUAACCUU